This is a non-coding RNA of Ceratobasidium sp. 395, 92 nucleotides long. Lineage: Eukaryota; Fungi; Basidiomycota; Agaricomycetes; Cantharellales; Ceratobasidiaceae. The record is from the annotation of a GenBank genome assembly.
GGCGACUUAGCCAAGCGGUCUAAGGCGCCAGACUAGGGUUUUAAGCUGAUAUCUGGUUCUUCGGAGUGCGAGUUCGAAUCUCGCAGUCGUCA